This 429-nucleotide ribosomal RNA is filed under the name Chloroflexota bacterium. RNAcentral describes it as "Chloroflexi bacterium partial 16S ribosomal RNA". It matches the Rfam family "Bacterial small subunit ribosomal RNA", at positions 355 to 776 of the family's 1533-position model. Lineage: Bacteria; Bacillati; Chloroflexota. The record is from RNAcentral.
UAGGGAAUCUUCGGCAAUGGACGAAAGUCUGACCGAGCAACGCCGCGUGAGUGAAGAAGGUUUUCGGAUCGUAAAACUCUGUUGUUAGAGAAGAACAAGGACGUUAGUAACUGAACGUCCCCUGACGGUAUCUAACCAGAAAGCCACGGCUAACUACGUGCCAGCAGCCGCGGUAAUACGUAGGUGGCAAGCGAUGUCCGGAUUUAUGGGGCGUAAAGCGAGCGCAGGCGGUUUCUUAAGUCUGAUGUGAAAGCCCCCGGCUCAACCGGGGAGGGUCAUUGGAAACUGGGAGACUUGAGUGCAGAAGAGGAGAGUGGAAUUCCAUGUGUAGCGGUGAAAUGCGUAGAUAUAUGGUGGAACACCAGUUGCGAAGGCUGCUCUCUGGUCAGUAACAGACGCUGAGGCUCGAAAGCGUGGGGAGCAAACAGG